CAACUCGAUCUAUCGAGUUACCGAGGGUACCAUCAUACCUUUCCACUCCAAUUCCGACCACCGACAUUACACGUCAACCAUAUCAUUGGUGCAUCGGCCAAUCGCGAGUGCUUCAAUCUCAAUCAAAUCCUUGCUCUAUCACGAGACGGCACACUUCGGCGCGUCUCAACCUCAACUCUUUUGAGAGCAUUAUCCACUAACUUCAACUCCAAUUCUCACGUGGCUUUU
This 228-nucleotide long non-coding RNA is filed under the name Ananas comosus (pineapple). RNAcentral describes it as "long non-coding RNA (ACOM_LNC037601)". Lineage: Eukaryota; Viridiplantae; Streptophyta; Magnoliopsida; Poales; Bromeliaceae. The record is from RNAcentral.